Molecule: ribosomal RNA, 475 nt
Filed under: uncultured bacterium
Lineage: Bacteria
Description: bacterial SSU rRNA
Rfam family: Bacterial small subunit ribosomal RNA
Source: RNAcentral
GCCUAACACAUGCAAGUCGAACGCGGUUGCUUCUGCUUCGCAAGAAGCAGUGGCAACUGAGUGGCGAACGGGUGAGUAACACGUGGGCAAUCUGCCCUGCACUCUGGGACAAGCCCUGGAAACGGGGUCUAAUACCGGAUAAUACCUGCCGAGGCAUCUCGGUGGGUUGAAAGCUCCGGCGGUGCAGGAUGAGCCCGCGGCCUAUCAGCUUGUUGGUGGGGUGAUGGCCUACCAAGGCGACGACGGGUAGCCGGCCUGAGAGGGCGACCGGCCACACUGGGACUGAGACACGGCCCAGACUCCUACGGGAGGCAGCAGUGGGGAAUAUUGCACAAUGGGCGAAAGCCUGAUGCAGCGACGCCGCGUGAGGGAUGACGGCCUUCGGGUUGUAAACCUCUUUCAGCAGGGAAGAAGCGAAAGUGACGGUACCUGCAGAAGAAGCGCCGGCUAACUACGUGCCAGCAGCCGCGGUAAU